CCUACGGGUGGCAGCAGUGGGGAAUAUUGGGCAAUGGGCGCAAGCCUGACCCAGCAACGCCGCGUGAAGGAAGAAGGCUUUCGGGUUGGAAACUUCUUGUAAGGGGGAAGAGCAGAAGACGGUACCCCUUGAAUAAGCCACGGCUAACUACGUGCCAGCAGGCGAGGUAAGACGUAGGUGGCAAGCGUUGUCCGGAUUUACUGGGUGUAAAGGGCGUGCAGCCGGAGAGACAAGUCAGAUGUGAAAUCCACGGGCUCAACCCGUGAACUGCAUUUGAAAGUGUUUCCCUUUAGUGUCGGAGAGGUAAUCGGAAUUCCUUGUGUAGCGGUGAAAUGCGUAGAUAUAAGGAAGAACACCAGUGGCGAAGGCGGAUUACUGGACGAUAACUGACGGUGAGGCGCGAAAGCGUGGGGAGCAAACAGGAUUAGAUACCCCGGUAGUC
This 442-nucleotide ribosomal RNA is filed under the name uncultured bacterium. RNAcentral's name for it is "partial 16S ribosomal RNA". It matches the Rfam family "Bacterial small subunit ribosomal RNA", at positions 338 to 795 of the family's 1533-position model. The record is from RNAcentral.